RNAcentral lists this ribosomal RNA (253 nucleotides) under uncultured bacterium. Its description in RNAcentral is "partial 16S ribosomal RNA". It matches the Rfam family "Bacterial small subunit ribosomal RNA", at positions 524 to 776 of the family's 1533-position model. The record is from RNAcentral.
UACGAAGGGGGCUAGCGUUGCUCGGAAUUACUGGGCGUAAAGCGCACGUAGGCGGCUUUCUAAGUCGGGGGUGAAAUCCUGGAGCUCAACUCCAGAACUGCCUUCGAUACUGGAAGGCUCGAGUCCGGGAGAGGUGAGUGGAACUGCGAGUGUAGAGGUGAAAUUCGUAGAUAUUCGCAAGAACACCAGUGGCGAAGGCGGCUCACUGGCCCGGUACUGACGCUGAGGUGCGAAAGCGUGGGGAGCAAACAGG